UACGGUGGCGAAAGCAAGAAGGAUACACCUGUUCCCAUGCCGAACACAGAAGUUAAGCUUCUUAACGCCGAAAGUA
This 76-nucleotide ribosomal RNA is filed under the name Lactobacillus crispatus. Lineage: Bacteria; Bacillati; Bacillota; Bacilli; Lactobacillales; Lactobacillaceae. The record is from RNAcentral.